ACCUUGGGGAGGGGCCAGCUGCUGUGUUCAGUCCGCCAAGGCAAACGCUAAGCUCUUCCAGAAACGCCCUCACAGACACCCCGGAAGUCACGUACCCACUCUCUAGGUGCCCUGGGGCACAGGCAAGCUGACGAGCCAGUUAUCCCUCAGAGCUCCUGCUGCCUCGCCUGCUUUCUCUCGGAAACGUGAAGUGCGGCCUCAGCUGAAAGUGAGGUGGGCUCAUUCAAUCAGUUGAAUUCUUCAAGAGAGAAAAACUGAAGUCCCUUAGAAGGAAAGAGUUCUGCCUUCAGACUGUCUUUGAACUUAAGACUGUAGCGUCGACUCCUGCCGGAAUUUCCAGCCUGCUGGCCAGCUCUGCAGAUUCACACUUGCCAGCCUCCACAAUCGCAGCUGAGGCGGGGGAACCCUAAGGGCUCAUUGACAUCAUGGAUUUGCCCUUCUAUGCAUUGAUGGAGCACCUGCUGCCCACAGCGUCUGUAUUUGGUGCUGGGAUGCUGAGGACACUGAGAUCUUCAAACAGAGGCUGCCACUCUAAGCAAACAGAUCCCGAGCCCUGGACUCUGAAGCUUGGGCCCAGUUCUCCUUUUCUCCGGGUUUCAGAUCCCACUGUGAAGUGAGGGGGCCCUUCUGAUUCAGGACCUGGGGAAGCCAGGGGCAUGAGCAUCGGUGCCUCUUCUCUAUUUCAAGGACCCUUCUGGGUGUAAAGUUCUCUGAGAUGCCUUACAUGGAUUCCAACCACUGCAAGAUAACCAUCGUAUGUAAAGUGUUAUGACCAGCAGAGUGUAAUUGAAGUGCAUUCCAGAGGGAAAGACAGCGGCUCAGAUGAGGCUUCAGGCUUGACCAAAUCUGACUGGCUGGCUGCCGGAGACACUGCUACCCAUUGGCCCUUAAUAAAUGGCCUCAUUGAUCAUCAUGUGAUCUUCAGAAGCUGGGCUUGAUUAUCCUUGCCAAACAAAAUGCUGAAACCAAAAAUCUGAAAGUAAAUCAAAGGUUUCGCCAUCAUGUAAACCCUUGGGCGACAGAGUCUCCCUGUCUCCCCCUGAUAUUGUUCUAUGAGAUUUCGAUGCUAUCUUCAUUGCCAGCAGCCCUGACAAAGAUGCACUGCAGACAGAUAGCCUCCCAGGAAUCUGCUUACCUCAGAGCCUGCUGCGGACUGAGUUGUCUUCUCCAAAAUCCAUUUGUGGAGGCCCUCAUCCCCAAUGGGAGAGUAUUUGGAGAUGAAGCAUUUGGAGGUGAUUAAGCUUAGAUGAGCUCAGAGUGGAGCCUCAGGAUGGCAUCGAUGCCCUGGUAAAGAGGGACACUGAGACCUGGCCCUCCCUUGCUCUCCACCGUGUGAGGACACAGUGAGAUGGUGGCCACUUACAAGCCAGGAACUGAACCCUACGGGGCCUUGACACUGGCUGUUCCAGCCUCCAGAAUGGCUAGGAAUAAAUGUCUGCUCUUUAAGUCCCUGGUCGGUGGAGCUUUGUUAUGGCAGCACCAGGGGCUGGUUGAGAGCCUUUGCAUGGCCCUUGUUCCACCUGGAAUGAGAUUUCUAACUCUUGGCUACCUUACCCCCUUACCUCAUUGUUUCAUGUUGCAACCACCCACCCACUCCCCAUGUCUCUGGCAUUCUCAUUUAUUUUUUCUUUGAUUUCAUAGAACACAUCACAAAGCCAUUUGCUCAUGCAUGAUGUUUAUUGUCUAUUUUCUAUCUCCCUGCUAGAGGGUAAGAUGCUCAAGAACACUGCUCUAUCUGCCUCCCAGGACCCAGAAAAUGCUUGGCGUGUGGUAGAACUUAGAUAUAUUUGUGUUGAAUAAAUUAGUUGAAGGG
RNAcentral lists this long non-coding RNA (1813 nucleotides) under Pan troglodytes (chimpanzee). RNAcentral's name for it is "lincRNA". The record is from RNAcentral. Lineage: Eukaryota; Metazoa; Chordata; Mammalia; Primates; Hominidae.